UCUAAAAUGGCAGAUUAGUGCAUUGGAUUUAAACCCCAAAAAUAAAGAUAUUCUUUUUUUAGAA
This 64-nucleotide transfer RNA is filed under the name Curculionoidea sp. 27 KM-2017. RNAcentral describes it as "tRNA-Leu". It matches the Rfam family "tRNA". Rfam says of the family: Transfer RNA (tRNA) molecules are approximately 80 nucleotides in length. Their secondary structure includes four short double-helical elements and three loops (D, anti-codon, and T loops). The record is from RNAcentral. Lineage: Eukaryota; Metazoa; Arthropoda; Insecta; Coleoptera.